GGGAUCUUCCGGGUCCCACCGCGCGCUGCUCGCGGGCAAGCCGCUGGGCUCUGGCGCCUUGAGCAUCCGAGCAGGUCCUGCCCCCGCCGUAGGCGUGGGGACCUAGAGCUGCCCUCCGCUCCUUGUCCCGGGCCAGAGGCGGACACUAGGCGGUAGAAGCAGCUGCAGGGUCUGCCCUGCCCCCGCCCCGCGCGGAGAGCUGCUGCCAGGAACAGCAAUAUUAAUAGCAAUCCUGAGAGGGGGGCUGUUGUCAACCCCAACUUUGAGGACCCUGAGGACAUCAAGGGCUUAUAGCUGCCAUUUCUGCAAAGGAAUGUAGCAGUCCUUACGGCUUCACUUGGCCCUGUGACGCAGCUGAUUCAACACCACUUAAGUGGAGUCACUGGAUACAGCUUAGGCAAGCUCUACUGAGAACGACGCAGCCCACGCCUCCAGGGCUAGAGGACAAGUGUGUGGCGUGUUUGCAGAUGGCCAUCAAUUCGUGGCUGUGGGUCUUCAUCAGGCAGCCGGUGGGUCCUGCAUGCAUGGCCUCUCACUCACUGACAGCAGCAGUCUGUCACCCUGUGGAGAUGGCACAUGAGAGAUCUGCACUGGCAGGUGCAGAAGGCCCAGGUAAGCCGUGUGAGCAGGUGGCCUAGAUGCCUUCCAUGGCGGCUCUUGCUUCACUGACUCUUCCUGGGACCUCCGAGGUUGCUCCUUGGGAUCAAUUGGCUGAGAAGGAAUGAAUUCAAGCCUGGCUUACAGAUGGCACUGCAGGAUAUGCUGGCACCAACAGAAAGUGGGCAGCUGAAGCCCUCAGCCCACUCCAGGAGGACCUGCAUAACUUGGGUAACAGAAUGUCUUGCAGUGGGCAGAGCAUCAAGAGGCGCGCGUGUAUUUGUGUACUUGGCCUCAACUGAGAGACGGACGGAGGCAGGGAUCUACAAUGACUCGGCUGGCCAGUGAGGGAGGAAAACCACUGCUGUCAGGUGACCACCAGGCCUCAGGACAGAGGAUGUGUGUGACCGGAGCGCUCCAGAUAGGCACAGAAUGGGAAGAAGGAAAUUGUGUCACAGGUGUUUAUGAGUCAGCACUGAAAAAAUAAAAUAAAAUAAAAUAAAUGCCCGAGACAAUUAGGUUCAAAAGAAGAAAGGUAGGGGGAUCGAUGGCUCAGAGGUUAAGAGCACUGACUGCUUCUUGAGAGGUUCUGAGUUCAACUCCCAGCAACCAUGUGGUGGGUCGAACCCAUCUAUACUGGGGUCUGAUGCCCAAUUCUGGCAUGCAGGAAUACAUGCAAACAGAGCACUAUAUAGAUAAAUAAACAAGGAGAAAGGUU
This is a long non-coding RNA of Mus musculus (house mouse), 1315 nucleotides long. RefSeq annotates it as RIKEN cDNA 2900024J01 gene. Lineage: Eukaryota; Metazoa; Chordata; Mammalia; Rodentia; Muridae. The record is from RefSeq and is a predicted model, not a curated record. The transcript is spliced from 3 exons.